This 432-nucleotide ribosomal RNA is filed under the name uncultured Thermovirga sp. RNAcentral's name for it is "bacterial SSU rRNA". It matches the Rfam family "Bacterial small subunit ribosomal RNA", at positions 954 to 1382 of the family's 1533-position model. Lineage: Bacteria; Thermotogati; Synergistota; Synergistia; Synergistales; Thermovirgaceae. The record is from RNAcentral.
AUGCAACGCGAAGAACCUUACCUGGUCUUGACAUCCUACGGAAGUUUUCAGAGAUGAGAAUGUGCCUUCGGAACCGUGAGACAGGUGCUGCAUGGCUGUCGUCAGCUCGUGUUGUGAAAUGUUGGGUUAAGUCCCGUCAACGAGCGCAACCCCUGCAUUUAGUUGCCAUCGGUACGGCCGGGCACUCUAGAUGGACUGCCGGCGACAAGCCGGAGGAAGGUGGGGAUGACGUCAAGUCAUCAUGGCCCUUAUGUCCAGGGCGACACACGUGCUACAAUGGCCGGCACAGCGGGAAGCGAAUGGGCGACCAUGAGCGGAUCCCCAUAAAAGCCGGUCCCAGUUCGGAUUGCAGUCUGCAACUCGACUGCAUGAAGUUGGAAUCGCUAGUAAUCGCGGAUCAGCCAAGCCGCGGUGAAUACGUUCCCGGGCCUU